RNAcentral lists this ribosomal RNA (292 nucleotides) under uncultured bacterium. RNAcentral's name for it is "partial 16S ribosomal RNA". The record is from RNAcentral.
GGACUACUGGGGUAUCUAAUCCUGUUUGCUCCCCACGCUUUCGCGCCUCAGCGUCAGAUCCGGUCCAGAGAGCCGCCUUCGCCACCGGUGUUCUUCCCAAUAUCUACGAAUUUCACCUCUACACUGGGAAUUCCACUCUCCUCUCCCGGUCUCCAGCAAGCCCGUUUCAAGCGCAGUUCCCAGGUUGAGCCCGGGGCUUUCACGCCUGACAAAACUCGCCGCCUGCGCGCCCUUUACGCCCAGUAAAUCCGAACAACGCUCGCCCCCUUCGUAUUACCGCGGCUGCUGGCAC